CCCUUAGACGUUCUGGGCCGCACGCGCGCUACACUGACCAGUGCAACAAGCAUCCGUCCUUGGCCGACAGGCUCGGGCAAUCUUUGAACGCUGGUCGUGAUGGGGAUAGACUUUUGCAAUUUUUGGUCUUCAACGAGGAAUUCCUAGUAAACGCAAGUCAUCAACUUGCAUUGAUUACGUCCCUGCCCUUUGUACUCACCGCCCGUCGCACCUACCGAUUGAAUGGUCCGGUGAAGCCUCCGGAUUGGCGCGCACCUCGGUGCCGCCGAGAAGUUGGCUAAACCUUACCAUUUAGAGGAAGGUGAAGUCGUAACA
RNAcentral lists this ribosomal RNA (315 nucleotides) under uncultured eukaryote. RNAcentral describes it as "partial 18S ribosomal RNA". It matches the Rfam family "Eukaryotic small subunit ribosomal RNA", at positions 1470 to 1796 of the family's 1831-position model. The record is from RNAcentral.